CAUCCUGUGCUGUUCAGAUUUGUUGAGCAGAGGAACAGUUUCUCCAAUGUUGGCACAGAUAUUCAUCUAGCAAUGAAACGGAAGACACCAUAAUGAGAAAUGUACACUCAGAAUUGAAUUUUCAUUGAUUUGAUUUAAAGAACACAAGCAUUUUAAGUCUAAUAAAACUGAAUGACAUUAGAGCAUUUCUAGAAGAUAACAUUACAACUCCCCCAAUGGCUCGUAGAGAGAUUUUCCUACUUCGAAUGGCUCUGUUUACUUCACUUAUCACUAGAAUGAAAUGACAUCUGAAAUAAAAACAAACAACGACAGAUAUAGCUCUUCUAGUUAAUUAAUUACUCAGUACAUUCUAACAAGUUUCACUUUGGCAGUUAAAACCAAGAGCAAUAUAGUAAAGAUUGUAGUCCCGGUUGUAGCAUGCCUGCUGCUACCCACAUGCAUAGCCCUUGUCUUCCUAUGCAAAUUCAAAGGUACAACAUUAAGCGGCUUGUUUUCAACGUGUAAUGUGAUUGUGUAUAUGAAAAGAAAAGUAUCAAUGUCCCACCAGCAGGGAAAUGGCAAAAGAAGGGAAUUCAGAAGAAAGUGAUGUUAGGAUACUUGAGCACCUCCAAUAGACUCGGAGACAAAAAUGAUGAAUUUCCAUUUGUUAGCUUCAAUGACAUUGUUGCCGCAACCGAUAAUUUCUCUGACUGCAAUAUGCUUGGAAGAGGAGGCUUUGGCAAAGUUUACAAGGUAAUGACAGAUUUAACAUAAUAUGCAUUAAAGAAUUUCUAAAGCAGAAGAAAGAAUUUUGGAUUUCAUCGUUUUCAACAUCAGAAGGAUGCAAUCAUGCAGGGAAUAUUGGAAGAUGGCAAGGAAGUUGCUGUCAAAAGGCUUAGUCAAGGUUCUGGGCAAGGUAUUGAUGAAUUCAGAAACGAGGUAGUCCUACUCGUCAAACUACAGCACAGGAAUCUAGUCAGACUGCUUGGUUGCUGUAUUCAUGAAGAAGAGAAGUUACUGAUCUACGAAUACUUGCCUAACAAAAGCCUAGAUGCCUUCCUCUUUGGUAUGCAGACUCUAGAUUACAUAUUGAAGUUCUUACAUUGACAAAAAGGAUAUGGGUCAUGACUAACAACAGUUUGGUUUUAAACUGUCUUCUUGGCAGAUACUUCAAGAACACGUGUACUUGAUUGGCCAACACGGUUCAACAUAAUUAAAGGCAUAGCCAGGGGCAUUCUAUAUCUCCACCAAGAUUCAAGAUUAACAAUAAUUCAUAGAGAUCUUAAAGCAAGUAACAUCUUGUUAGACACAGAAAUGAGUCCCAAAAUAUCAGAUUUCGGUAUGGCAAGAAUCUUCGGGGGAAACCAGCAACUAGCAAACACUACACGUGUUGUUGGGACAUAGUGAGUAAUUCAUGUACUGGUCAAUGCUUGAUAAUGCAACUAUUAUACUUUAAUUUAACUCAAACUGUUGAAUUGUUUAAGCAGCGGUUAUAUGUCUCCUGAAUAUGUGACAAGUGGUGCCUUUUCUGUCAAGUCAGACACAUAUAGCUUUGGUGUUCUUCUCUUGGAGAUUGUAAGUGGUUUGAAGAUUAUCUCAACUCAAUUUAUAAUGGACUUCCCAAACCUUAUAGCUUAUGUAAGUAGCGUGGGAUUCUCAAGUUUUCAAUAAACAUAAACAAAAAAAUAUUAAUUUGAUAGAAAAAAGAUUUACAUUUUUCCAGACAUGGAAGUUAUGGGAAGAGGGAAAUGCAACGAAAUUGGUGGACUCAUUGGUUGCUGAAAGUUGUCCACUCCAUGAAGCUUUUAGGUGUAUUCAUGUAGGACUUUUGUGUGUCCAAGACAAUCCAAAUGCAAGGCCACUCAUGUCAACAGUUGUGUUUAUGUUGGAGAAUGAAACCACAUUGCUUCCAGCACCAAAGGAGCCUGUAUAUUUUUCACCAAGGAAUAAUGAAACUGAAGAAACAAGAAGAAACAUAGAAGGUUUUCUGAAUAUGUCGUGUAUCACAACACUGGAAGGCCGCUAGAUGUUCACACUUCUACCAUGUACAUGUUCAAGCCUUUUAUUAACCAUGUACUGUAGGGUAGGUGAAUUUCAGCAUAGCUGGUCGUAAUAUAUACGAAAUUACAGUCUUCAAAAGGGAUAUAUGUGAACUUACUGUACUGAACACACUGAAUUGAAGCUUGUGGCUUGGAAAAAAAUGUAAAUAAUCUAGAGGUUUGAGAAUUAUAUGGUCAAGUGUCAUAACAAAGAAUGCAAUAAAAUUUCACAUGACAUUGCUUUAAUCUUCAGUUGCUCUAAUGCCAAAAGGUGAAGGGUGCUUAAUCUUUCAGUGCAGUACCUCAUAUGGAUUAUUCGUAGAUUUUUUUCAUAAGAUGUUAUAUUUUUCUAUAAAGCUAGUAAACUUGAGGGGUUCUUUUUCCAUUAGGCCGGUGGUCAUUGGAGACUAGGAAACAGCCAAAGUUAAAUGAAUAAACUGUAGCAAGUUCAGAGUUGUUUUCAGCAUUGUGUAACAUACCUCAUAUGUGGGGUUUUAUUCAAUUUUUUCGAAACAUGCUAUUUGCAUAAGAUGAGCAAAUAAUAAGUACACAGCUGAUUGCAGCUGGUAACCGGCAAAUAGUUUUCUUGGCCAGGUUUACCAUGCCAGAAAUUUAGAUGAUUUACCUCCAACACUAGCUGCAAGUGAAAUUUAGGUUAUUCAGCAAAUCGCCACUGACAGGCAGAGCUCACACAUUCUGCAAAAGCUUCGGAUCACUCCUCUGAAUAUGUAGCACGCCAGGUACAGAUUCAUCAACGUAUGGACACCACGGCACUAGAAUUAGAAGCGAGAGCGAGUCAGCGAGACACCCGGGGUACCUGGCGAAGACGGCGGCCAUGGGACACGGGUGCCGAACUGUGGCGGCGCGAGGCGUCAAGGGUCCGUCUAGCGAUACUACGGAAGAAGGGCGGUGGCGGCGUGGUUACGGUUCCUCCGCCUCAGCUGUCAGCCUCCGCAGUUCCGCACCGCUGAACUUCUGAAGUCUUUGAACGACACCGAUUAGGUGGGCCAG
Molecule: long non-coding RNA, 3029 nt
Filed under: Zea mays
Lineage: Eukaryota; Viridiplantae; Streptophyta; Magnoliopsida; Poales; Poaceae
Description: long non-coding RNA (ZMAY_LNC000683)
Source: RNAcentral